CGGAGAUAUUGAAUGUAUAAUCAUUAGUUCUUCCCAAGGCCCCGUGAAAGUGUGAACAGUGUUGAGAGAACGACAGCUUGUGCCACGUGUUUAGCCUGGAAGACAAUCGACCGUCGCGUCAGAAGAAAGCGGAAAUGAUCUGCACAAUAUUUUUAUGUUCUUUAUUGUGGUCGGCGCUCUCAAUGACAGUAAGAGAGAGUGAAAAGAGCGAGCUUGAUUGUGAACUUCCUGAUGGUACAACAUUACGAAACGGAUUUGACAAGAAUAACACUCACCCUUGUGUGAACUACGACUGUCAGAAUGGAAACCUCUUUACUGAAAGCUGCAAUAACGCAAAGGACAAGUAUUGCGACACAUCGUUUGGCGGAGUGGGCCAGUUUCCCGACUGCUGCCCAGUGAUUGUUUGCGCGCAAGGCUGAAGUUCACUGAAAACCUAAAAAGGUUGUGACAGUAUCACUGACAGUAAUACAAACUUCCAGUAUAUACACAGAGAAAUUACUAAAACAUUAUUGUUGUUUAUUUCGGGCGCAAAUAACAAGUAAUCGAAGCUGUCGCCAUAAAGCUUAUAUGCUACUGCAUCGUAAGACAGCUUGGGGAGUGUCAUUACUACACUGUCAUUACUGCGAUUAUUCAUGGGGCAGUUGUACGUGCCUUCGAAAAUUACGUCUUCACAAUCAUAUUUCUCUUCACGCUAAAUGCAAGUAGAUUAGGCAACACAUGUUAUGGUUCUGUCCAUUUGGUGUUUUGAAAAGCCGCUAAAAAAUACUACCAUUUCUAAUAUGUUUGACGUCAUCUAAUACACCAACA
Molecule: long non-coding RNA, 807 nt
Organism: Dermacentor silvarum
Lineage: Eukaryota; Metazoa; Arthropoda; Arachnida; Ixodida; Ixodidae
Exons: 4
Source: RefSeq, a predicted model, not a curated record